This 217-nucleotide microRNA precursor is filed under the name Pelobates cultripes (western spadefoot toad). Lineage: Eukaryota; Metazoa; Chordata; Amphibia; Anura; Pelobatidae. The record is from RNAcentral.
UCCAGCCCACUCACCUAUCCACUAAACAGCAACUUCAAUGUUGAAAGAUUUUAUUUUAUUUUUUAUUUUAUUUUUUUGUGGCAGGCUUAUGCAAUGUCUGAUCAUAUAAUGUAACUAAACCCCCAUUAUUUUUGCCUAGAUUAGGUGUUUUAAAAAAAAACAAAUAAAAUCUUUCAACAUUGAAGUUGCUGUUUAGUGGAUAGGUGAGUGCGCUGGA